CUACGGGACGCUGCAGUAAGGAAUAUUGCGCAAUGGAGGCAACUCUGACGCAGCCAUGCCGCGUGCAGGAAGAAGGCCUUAUGGGUCGUAAACUGCUUUUAUUUAGGAAUAAACCCCCGAACGUGUUCGGGGCUGAAGGUACUAAACGAAUAAGCACCGGCUAACUCCGUGCCAGCAGCCGCGGUAAUACGGAGGGUGCAAGCGUUAUCCGGAUUUAUUGGGUUUAAAGGGUGCGCAGGCGGGUUAUUAAGUCAGUGGUGAAAUCCCGGGGCUCAACUCCGGAACUGCCAUUGAUACUGAUAGUCUUGAGUUUGGUUGAAGUGGGCGGAAUGUAGCAUGUAGCGGUGAAAUGCAUAGAUAUGCUACAGAACACCAAUCGCGAAGGCAGCUCACUAAGCCAAAACUGACGCUCAUGCACGAAAGCGUGGGGAUCAAACAGGAUUAGAUACCCCUGUAGUC
This 459-nucleotide ribosomal RNA is filed under the name uncultured bacterium. RNAcentral describes it as "partial 16S ribosomal RNA". It matches the Rfam family "Bacterial small subunit ribosomal RNA", at positions 339 to 795 of the family's 1533-position model. The record is from RNAcentral.